GACAGAGGGUGCAAACGUUGUUCGGAAUUACUGGGCGUAAAGCGCGUGUAGGCGGCUAAGUAAGUCGGGCGUGAAAUCCCACGGCUCAACCGUGGAAGUGCACUCGAAACUGCAUAGCUAGAGUCCUGGAGAGGAAGGUGGAAUGCUUGGUGUAGAGGUGAAAUUCGUAGAUAUCAAGCGGAACACCGGUGGCGAAGGCGGCCUUCUGGACAGUGAUUGACGCUGAGACGCGAAAGCGUGGGGAGCAAACAGG
This 253-nucleotide ribosomal RNA is filed under the name uncultured bacterium. RNAcentral's name for it is "partial 16S ribosomal RNA". It matches the Rfam family "Bacterial small subunit ribosomal RNA", at positions 524 to 776 of the family's 1533-position model. The record is from RNAcentral.